This 468-nucleotide ribosomal RNA is filed under the name uncultured bacterium. Its description in RNAcentral is "partial 16S ribosomal RNA". It matches the Rfam family "Bacterial small subunit ribosomal RNA", at positions 28 to 507 of the family's 1533-position model. The record is from RNAcentral.
GACGAACGCUGGCGGCGUGCUUAACACAUGCAAGUCGAACGGAAAGGCCCUGCUUUUGUGGGGUGCUCGAGUGGCGAACGCGUGAGUAACACGUGAGUAACCUGCCCUUGACUUUGGGAUAACUUCAGGAAACUGGGGCUAAUACAGGAUAGGAGCUCCUGCUGCAUGGUGGGGGAUGGAAAGUUUCGGCGGUUGGGGAUGGACUCGCGGCUUAUCAGCUUGUUGGUGGGGUAGUGGCUUACCAAGGCUUUGACGGGUAGCCGGCCUGAGAGGGUGACCGGCCACAUUGGGACUGAGAUACGGCCCAGACUCCUACGGGAGGCAGCAGUGGGGAAUAUUGCACAAUGGGCGGAAGCCUGAUGCAGCAACGCCGCGUGCGGGAUGACGGCCUUCGGGUUGUAAACCGCUUUCGCCUGUGACGAAGCGUGAGUGACGGUAAUGGGUAAAGAAGCACCGGCUAACUACGUG